Molecule: ribosomal RNA, 466 nt
Filed under: Vreelandella stevensii
Lineage: Bacteria; Pseudomonadati; Pseudomonadota; Gammaproteobacteria; Oceanospirillales; Halomonadaceae
Description: partial 16S ribosomal RNA
Rfam family: Bacterial small subunit ribosomal RNA
Source: RNAcentral
CCUACGGGUGGCUGCAGUGGGGAAUAUUGGACAAUGGGCGAAAGCCUGAUCCAGCCAUGCCGCGUGUGUGAAGAAGGCCUUCGGGUUGUAAAGCACUUUCAGUGGGGAAGAAAGCCUUGGGGCUAAUACCCUCGAGGAAGGACAUCACCCACAGAAGAAGCACCGGCUAACUCCGUGCCAGCAGCCGCGGUAAUACGGAGGGUGCGAGCGUUAAUCGGAAUUACUGGGCGUAAAGCGCGCGUAGGCGGUCUGAUAAGCCGGUUGUGAAAGCCCCGGGCUCAACCUGGGAACGGCAUCCGGAACUGUCAAGCUAGAGUGCAGGAGAGGAAGGUAGAAUUCCCGGUGUAGCGGUGAAAUGCGUAGAGAUCGGGAGGAAUACCAGUGGCGAAGGCGGCCUUCUGGACUGACACUGACGCUGAGGUGCGAAAGCGUGGGUAGCAAACAGGAUUAGAUACCCUGUGUAGUC